RNAcentral lists this ribosomal RNA (468 nucleotides) under uncultured bacterium. RNAcentral describes it as "partial 16S ribosomal RNA". It matches the Rfam family "Bacterial small subunit ribosomal RNA", at positions 28 to 507 of the family's 1533-position model. The record is from RNAcentral.
GACGAACGCUGGCGGCGUGCUUAACACAUGCAAGUCGAACGGAAAGGCCCUGCUUUUGUGGGGUGCUCGAGUGGCGCACGGGUGAGUAACACGUGAGUAACCUGCCCUUGACUUUGGGAUAACUUCAGGAAACUGGGGCUCAUACCGGAUAGGAGCUCCUGCUGCAUGGUGGGGGUUGGAAAGUUUCGGCGGUUGGGGAUGGACUCGCGGCUUAUCAGCUUGUUGGUGGGGUAGUGGCUUACCAAGGCUUUGACGGGUAGCCGGCCUGAGAGGGUGACCGGCCACAUUGGGACUGAGAUACGGCCCAGACUCCUACGGGAGGCAGCAGUGGGGAAUAUUGCACAAUGGGCGGAAGCCUGAUGCAGCAACGCCGCGUGCGGGAUGACGGCCUUCGGGUUGUAAACCGCUUUCGCCUGUGACGAAGCGUGAGUGACGGUAAUGGGUAAAGAAGCACCGGCUAACUACGUG